GAUGAACGCUGGCGGUAUGCUUAACACAUGCAAGUCGAACGGACUCUUCGGAGUUAGUGGCGGACGGGUGAGUAACGCGUGAGAAUCUGGCUUUGGGUUCGGGACAACCACUGGAAACGGUGGCUAAUACCGGAUGUGCCGAGAGGUAAAAGAGAAAUUGCCUGAAGAUGAGCUCGCGUCUGAUUAGCUAGUUGGUGAGGUAAAGGCUCACCAAGGCAGCGAUCAGUAGCUGGUCUGAGAGGAUGACCAGCCACACUGGGACUGAGACACGGCCCAGACUACUACGGGAGGCAGCAGUGGGGAAUUUUCCGCAAUGGGCGAAAGCCUGACGGAGCAAUACCGCGUGAGGGAAGAAGGCUCUUGGGUUGUAAACCUCUUUACUUAGGGAAGAACAAAAUGACGGUACCUAAGGAAUCAGCAUCGGCUAACUCCGUG
This 435-nucleotide ribosomal RNA is filed under the name uncultured bacterium. RNAcentral's name for it is "partial 16S ribosomal RNA". It matches the Rfam family "Bacterial small subunit ribosomal RNA", at positions 28 to 507 of the family's 1533-position model. The record is from RNAcentral.